GGCGCCUUUAUGAGGAAUUUCUUGAUUACGUUCAAUGGUUCGAAUCUGAUCGAGUGUCUUGAUGUCUGGAGACAAGCCACCGUGCACACAGAGAAUCUGCUCAUCUAUUAACUGGAGAGAAAAAGAAACACACAAAACACUCGGUAUCGCAACCAAACCAUGAACCUCUCCAGCACGACCCUUAGAGGCCACCAAUUCUAGAAAUUAUAUUUAGACAAUCUACUUUUUUAGUGAGGCGUUUACACUUACAGCUGCUAUUGUGAGCAUGUCAAAGACUUUGGUACAGUAUCUCCAAGCAUUAGCAUUUCCGUAUUUGGUUUGGCACUCAUCAUAAAAUCCAUACACUUGCGUUAUCUGCCUGCUUUCGUGAUUGCCUCGUAACAGCGUGAUACGAUCGGGCCAUUUAGCUUUUAGUGCGAGAAGAUAAGUGAAAGUCUCAAGACUAUAGUAACCUCUAUCUACAAAGUCACCCAUGAAGAUGUAGUUGGUGUCAGGCACCUGCCCGCCGGUCCGGAACAGCUCGCACAGGUCAUAGAACUGCCCGUGGAUGUCCCCGCAGACGGUGACGGGCGUGGAGACGGGCUGCACGUUGGACUCCUCCAGCAGCAGGUCGCACACGUAGUCGCACAGACGCUUGAGGUCAUUC
RNAcentral lists this long non-coding RNA (646 nucleotides) under Gallus gallus (chicken). The record is from RNAcentral. Lineage: Eukaryota; Metazoa; Chordata; Aves; Galliformes; Phasianidae.